ACACAUGCAAGUCGAGCGGUAGCACAGAGAGCUUGCUCUCGGGUGACGAGCGGCGGACGGGUGAGUAAUGUCUGGGAAACUGCCUGAUGGAGGGGGAUAACUACUGGAAACGGUAGCUAAUACCGCAUAACGUCGCAAGACCAAAGUGGGGGACCUUCGGGCCUCAUGCCAUCAGAUGUGCCCAGAUGGGAUUAGCUAGUAGGUGGGGUAACGGCUCACCUAGGCGACGAUCCCUAGCUGGUCUGAGAGGAUGACCAGCCACACUGGAACUGAGACACGGUCCAGACUCCUACGGGAGGCAGCAGUGGGGAAUAUUGCACAAUGGGCGCAAGCCUGAUGCAGCCAUGCCGCGUGUGUGAAGAAGGCCUUCGGGUUGUAAAGCACUUUCAGCGGGGAGGAAGGCGUAAGGUUAAUAACCUCUCGAUUGACGUUACCCGCAG
This 440-nucleotide ribosomal RNA is filed under the name Klebsiella pneumoniae. Its description in RNAcentral is "bacterial SSU rRNA". It matches the Rfam family "Bacterial small subunit ribosomal RNA", at positions 51 to 484 of the family's 1533-position model. Lineage: Bacteria; Pseudomonadati; Pseudomonadota; Gammaproteobacteria; Enterobacterales; Enterobacteriaceae. The record is from RNAcentral.